Non-coding RNA from Nicotiana tabacum (common tobacco), 747 nucleotides. NCBI's taxonomy places the organism in Eukaryota, Viridiplantae, Streptophyta, Magnoliopsida, Solanales, Solanaceae. The record is from RefSeq and is a predicted model, not a curated record.
AUGACUUUUUGUUUUUUUUAGAACGGUGAUCUCCGAGACAGCUUACGCUUAUCUCGACUAUUCCACAGGGUACCUGUUGUCUCCUACCACACAGGUACCGGAUAACUCUACCUAUCAAGGCUUGGGCGAAUGGGAAGAAAUCACGCCUUGUUUUUUGCAUCGGUGGAACGAUUCAAUCGAUAACUUAAGCGAAGGAUCACCAAGUAGUGGGAGGAGGUUUACGUUACCUACCCCCAGGAGGACGAAGGUUUCCCCCCUGAAGAAGUAUGGAUUUAAAAAAGUUACAAAGAGGAGGAAAUCCAAGAGAUGGAGUACGAUUGAAGAAGAAACUUUGAGGUCCGGUGUGCAGAAGUAUGGUGUCGGAAACUGGAGGCUCAUCUUUGAUACUAAUCAUGAAAUAUUCGAAGAUAGGACUCCGGUUGACUUGAAGGACAAAUGGAGAAACUUGACAUCCUAGCGAGAAAUUUGAAGAGAUCUGGUAAUGUAUGGACGUCCCUUUUUUUCUUAGGAUGUAAAUUGUUGUAUAACGUUUUCAUCGUGUAAAUGCAAGCUGCCUUGAGGGAUCUUGCUUGAUGUAUUGUAUACUCUAGAUGAACUUUGAUGUUUGACAUGUCGUCCCUCUAGACGAAGCUGUGGAACAUGUUUGUAUUAUUUGAUAUGAUGUAAAUAGAGUUGUCAUAAUCAUUUCAAGAGCUUUGAGAAAAGAGGUAAUAGAUGUGGCUCACAAUUUUGUCAUGGACCUCAAAA